This 707-nucleotide ribosomal RNA is filed under the name uncultured Thelephorales. Its description in RNAcentral is "eukaryotic LSU rRNA". The stretch from base 270 to 424 matches the Rfam family "5.8S ribosomal RNA". Lineage: Eukaryota; Fungi; Basidiomycota; Agaricomycetes; Thelephorales. The record is from RNAcentral.
CUUGGUCAUUUAGAGGAAGUAAAAGUCGUAACAAGGUUUCCGUAGGUGAACCUGCGGAAGGAUCAUUACCGAAUUGUCAACACGAGUUGUUGCUGGUCCUCAAACGGGGACAUGUGCACGCUCUGUUUGCACAUCCAUUCACACCUGUGCACCCUCUGUAGUUCUGCAGCCUGGGGGCUCUGGCCCCCUGCCGUGGUUCUAUGUAUUUACACACACACGCUGUAACAAAGCCUCAUGGAAUGUAUACCGCGCUUAACGCAAUACAAUACAACUUUCAGCAACGGAUCUCUUGGCUCUCGCAUCGAUGAAGAACGCAGCGAAAUGCGAUAAGUAAUGUGAAUUGCAGAAUUCAGUGAAUCAUCGAAUCUUUGAACGCACCUUGCGCCCUUUGGCUAUUCCGAAGGGCAUGCCUGUUUGAGUAUCAUGAACACCUCAACUCUCAUGGCUUGCCAUGAUGAGCUUGGACUUUGGGGGUCUUGCUGGCCUGGGGUCAGCUCCUCUCAAAUGAAUUAGCUUGCCAGUGUUUGGUGUGGUAUCAUGGGUGUGAUAACUAUCUACGCUUGUGGUUUUCCACCAGGUAACCUUCUGCGACAAAGGUUCGCUGGGGCUCAUAAAUGUCUCUCCUCGGUGAGGACAGCUUUUUGAACGUUUGAUCUCAAAUCAGGUAGGACUACCCGCUGAACUUAAGCAUAUCAAUAAGCGGAGGA